GCAAGGUAGCUCAGUUGGUUAGAGCACAGCACUCAUAAUGCUGGGGUCGGCGGUUCGACUCCGCCCACAUUCU
RNAcentral lists this transfer RNA (73 nucleotides) under Marinobacter santoriniensis NKSG1. RNAcentral's name for it is "tRNA-Met". The stretch from base 6 to 66 matches the Rfam family "tRNA", at positions 7 to 64 of the family's 71-position model. Rfam says of the family: Transfer RNA (tRNA) molecules are approximately 80 nucleotides in length. Their secondary structure includes four short double-helical elements and three loops (D, anti-codon, and T loops). Lineage: Bacteria; Pseudomonadati; Pseudomonadota; Gammaproteobacteria; Pseudomonadales; Marinobacteraceae. The record is from RNAcentral.